AGUGAACGCUGGCGGUAGGCCUAACACAUGCAAGUCGAACGGCAGCACAGUAAGAGCUUGCUCUUACGGGUGGCGAGUGGCGGACGGGUGAGGAAUACAUCGGAAUCUACUUUUUCGUGGGGGAUAACGUAGGGAAACUUACGCUAAUACCGCAUACGACCUACGGUUGAAAUCAGUGGAUCUUCGGACCUUGCGCGAUUGAAUGAGCCGAUGUCGGAUUAGCUAGUUGGCGGGGUAAAGGCCCACCAAGGCGACGAUCCGUAGCUGGUCUGAGAGGAUGAUCAGCCACACUGGAACUGAGACACGGACCAGACUCCUACGGGAGGCAGCAGUGGGGAAUAUUGGACAAUGGGCGCAAGCCUGAUCCAGCCAUACCGCGUGGGUGAAGAAGGCCUUCGGGUUGUAAAGCCCUUUUGUUGGGAAAGAAAAGCAGCAGGUUAAUACCCCGCUGUUCUGACGGUACCCAAAGAAUAAGCACCGGCUAACUUCGUG
Molecule: ribosomal RNA, 492 nt
Filed under: uncultured bacterium
Lineage: Bacteria
Description: partial 16S ribosomal RNA
Rfam family: Bacterial small subunit ribosomal RNA
Source: RNAcentral